GGGUUGAGUUGUUAAAUG
Molecule: non-coding RNA, 18 nt
Filed under: Arabidopsis thaliana (thale cress)
Lineage: Eukaryota; Viridiplantae; Streptophyta; Magnoliopsida; Brassicales; Brassicaceae
Source: RNAcentral